This 253-nucleotide ribosomal RNA is filed under the name uncultured bacterium. RNAcentral describes it as "partial 16S ribosomal RNA". It matches the Rfam family "Bacterial small subunit ribosomal RNA", at positions 524 to 776 of the family's 1533-position model. The record is from RNAcentral.
GACGAACCGUGCGAACGUUGUUCGGAUUCACUGGGCUUAAAGGGCGCGUAGGCGGGCGGUCAAGUCAGGGGUGAAAUCUUUCGGCUCAACCGGAAAAGUGCCUUUGAUACUGGCCGUCUUGAGGGAGGUAGGGGCAUGCGGAACUUCCGGUGGAGCGGUGAAAUGCGUAGAUAUCGGAAGGAACGCCGGUGGCGAAAGCGGCGUGCUGGACCUCUUCUGACGCUGAGGCGCGAAAGCCAGGGGAGCAAACGGG